GACGAACGCUGGCGGCGCGCUUAACACAUGCAAGUCGAGCGAGAACCAGCCCUUCGGGGCUGGGGAAAGCGGCGAACGGGUGAGUAACACGUGGGUAAUCUGCCCUCGGCACCGGAAUAGCCCGGGGAAACCCGGAUUAAUGCCGGAUGGCCUCUCGAAUCCUUGGAUUCGUGAGAAAAGGUAGCUUCGGCCUCUGGCCGAGGAGGAGCCCGCGGCGGAUUAGCUUGUUGGUGGGGUAAUGGCCUACCAAGGCGACGAUCCGUAGCUGGUCUGAGAGGACGAUCAGCCACACUGGGACUGAGACACGGCCCAGACUCCUACGGGAGGCAGCAGUGGGGAAUCUUGCGCAAUGGGCGAAAGCCUGACGCAGCGACGCCGCGUGCGGGAAGAAGGCCUUCGGGUUGUAAACCGCUUUCAGGAGGGACGAAGCCACUCGGGUUAAUAGCCCAGAGGGUGACGGUACCUCCAGAAGAAGCCCCGGCUAACUACGUGCCAGCAGCCGCCGUAAAAC
This 511-nucleotide ribosomal RNA is filed under the name uncultured bacterium. Its description in RNAcentral is "bacterial SSU rRNA". It matches the Rfam family "Bacterial small subunit ribosomal RNA", at positions 28 to 526 of the family's 1533-position model. The record is from RNAcentral.